This 301-nucleotide ribosomal RNA is filed under the name uncultured bacterium. Its description in RNAcentral is "partial 16S ribosomal RNA". It matches the Rfam family "Bacterial small subunit ribosomal RNA", at positions 509 to 807 of the family's 1533-position model. The record is from RNAcentral.
CAGUCGCCGCGGAAAUACGUAGGGUGCGAGCGUUAAUCGGAAUUACUGGGCGUAAAGCGUGCGCAGGCGGUUCGUUAAGACAGAUGUGAAAUCCCCGGGCUUAACCUGGGAACUGCAUUUGUGACUGACGGGCUAGAGUAUGGCAGAGGGGGGUAGAAUUCCACGUGUAGCAGUGAAAUGCGUAGAGAUGUGGAGGAAUACCGAUGGCGAAGGCAGCCCCCUGGGCCAAUACUGACGCUCAUGCACGAAAGCGUGGGGAGCAAACAGGAUUAGAUACCCCAGUAGUCCCUGUCUCUUAUAC